UUCUCAGUAUCAAUUUUGGGCUCAGAUUCUUCUAUUGGGUUAGCUUCAGUACUAACUUUUUCUUUCAAAUUCAUAUUUUGAUUAGUAUCAGUACUAGCCUCACUCAUCUGAUCUUGGUAUGGGUUCUUAAAAAUCCUAUCACUUUUAAGCUCAAAAAUUACAUUGUCACUUUUAAAUUGGAGAUUCUUAGGUGGGCCAUUGGAUUGAUGAUUAGG
Molecule: long non-coding RNA, 215 nt
Filed under: Elaeis guineensis (African oil palm)
Lineage: Eukaryota; Viridiplantae; Streptophyta; Magnoliopsida; Arecales; Arecaceae
Description: long non-coding RNA (EGUI_LNC059905)
Source: RNAcentral